This 440-nucleotide ribosomal RNA is filed under the name uncultured Anaerolineaceae bacterium. RNAcentral describes it as "bacterial SSU rRNA". It matches the Rfam family "Bacterial small subunit ribosomal RNA", at positions 338 to 795 of the family's 1533-position model. The record is from RNAcentral. Lineage: Bacteria; Bacillati; Chloroflexota; Anaerolineae; Anaerolineales; Anaerolineaceae.
CCUACGGGCGGCAGCAGUGGGGAAUAUUGGUAAUGGGCGAAAGCCUGAACCAGCAACGCCGCGUGUGCGAUGAAGGCCUUCGGGUCGUAAAGCACUUUUUGGAGGGAUGAGGAAGGACAGUACCUCCAGAAUAAGCCUCGGCUAACUACGUGCCAGCAGCCGCGGUAACACGUAGGAGGCAAGCGUUAUUCGGAUUUACUGGGCGUAAAGCGCGUGCAGGCGGUUCGGAAAGUUGGAUGUGAAAGCUCCUGGCUUAACUGGGAGAGGUCGUUCAAUACUUCCGGACUUGAGAGUGGGAGAGGGAGGUGGAAUUCCGGGUGUAGUGGUGAAAUGCGUAGAUAUCCGGAGGAACACCAGUGGCGAAAGCGGCCUCCUGGCCCAUUUCUGACGCUCAGACGCGAAAGCUAGGGUAGCAAACGGGAUUAGAUACCCCAGUAGUC